AACGUACUCCCUCCGUCCCAAAGUACUUGUCGCGGAAAUAGACAUAUCUACACGUAUUUUAAUUCUAGAUACAUUCAUUUCUAACCAUUUGUAUGACAAGUAAUUCCGGACCGAGGGAGUAUUAG
Molecule: non-coding RNA, 125 nt
Organism: Triticum aestivum (bread wheat)
Lineage: Eukaryota; Viridiplantae; Streptophyta; Magnoliopsida; Poales; Poaceae
Source: Rfam